Molecule: ribosomal RNA, 425 nt
Filed under: uncultured bacterium
Lineage: Bacteria
Description: bacterial SSU rRNA
Rfam family: Bacterial small subunit ribosomal RNA
Source: RNAcentral
GAAUAUUGGACAAUGGGCGCAAGCCUGAUCCAGCAACGCCGCGUGGAGGAUGAAGGUCUUCGGAUCGUAAACUCCUGUCAGGUGGGACGAAGGAAUCGGGGUAAACAAUCCCGGUUCUUGACGGUACCGCCAGAGGAAGCCCCGGCUAACUCCGUGCCAGCAGCCGCGGUAAUACGGAGGGGGCGAGCGUUAUUCGGAAUUAUUGGGCGUAAAGGGCGCGUAGGCGGCUUGGCAAGUCAAAGGUGAAAUCCCUCGGCUCAACUGAGGAACUGCCUUUGAAACUGCUUAGCUUGAGGCCGGGAGGGGGUAGCGGAAUUCCCAGUGUAGCGGUGAAAUGCGUAGAUACUGGGAGGAACACCAGUGGCGAAGGCGGCUACCUGGACCGGAUCUGACGCUGAUGCGCGAAAGCGUGGGUAGCAAACAGG